GUGAAUCACAUUAGUUUGUGCGUAACUAUAUAAAAAUUAUAAUAAACAAAUUAUAUGAACUUCAAUCCUGACAAAAGCAGAACGAAGGCGUAAAUUUGAAUGAAGUCUGAGCUGGUUGGUCUAUCCGCUGGAACGGCCUGACGAAAGAACUUCCUGACUUGUGAUUUGAAUUAUUAUUGACAAUGUAAUUAACGCCCAAAUAAAAAUAUCUAUAUUA
Molecule: long non-coding RNA, 217 nt
Organism: Tribolium castaneum (red flour beetle)
Lineage: Eukaryota; Metazoa; Arthropoda; Insecta; Coleoptera; Tenebrionidae
Exons: 2
Source: RefSeq, a predicted model, not a curated record